RNAcentral lists this ribosomal RNA (739 nucleotides) under fungal sp. RNAcentral describes it as "eukaryotic LSU rRNA". The stretch from base 468 to 739 matches the Rfam family "Eukaryotic large subunit ribosomal RNA", at positions 1 to 270 of the family's 3401-position model. The record is from RNAcentral. Lineage: Eukaryota; Fungi.
UUACAAGUGACCCCGGUCUUACCACCGGGAUGUUCAUAACCCUUUGUUGUCCGACUCUGUUGCCUCCGGGGCGACCCUGCCUUCGGGCGGGGGCUCCGGGUGGACACUUCAAACUCUUGCGUAACUUUGCAGUCUGAGUAAACUUAAUUAAUAAAUUAAAACUUUUAACAACGGAUCUCUUGGUUCUGGCAUCGAUGAAGAACGCAGCGAAAUGCGAUAAGUAAUGUGAAUUGCAGAAUUCAGUGAAUCAUCGAAUCUUUGAACGCACAUUGCGCCCCCUGGUAUUCCGGGGGGCAUGCCUGUUCGAGCGUCAUUUCACCACUCAAGCCUCGCUUGGUAUUGGGCAACGCGGUCCGCCGCGUGCCUCAAAUCGACCGGCUGGGUCUUCUGUCCCCUAAGCGUUGUGGAAACUAUUCGCUAAAGGGUGUUCGGGAGGCUACGCCGUAAAACAACCCCAUUUCUAAGGUUGACCUCGGAUCAGGUAGGGAUACCCGCUGAACUUAAGCAUAUCAAUAAGCGGAGGAAAAGAAACCAACAGGGAUUGCUCUAGUAACGGCGAGUGAAGCAGCAAUAGCUCAAAUUUGAAAUCUGGCGUCUUCGACGUCCGAGUUGUAAUUUGUAGAGGAUGCUUCUGAGUAACCACCGACCUAAGUUCCUUGAAACAGGACGUCAUAGAGGGUGAGAAUCCCGUAUGCGGUCGGAAAGGUGCUCUAUACGUAGCUCCUUCGACGAGUCGAGU